GGUUAUUUAGUUUAUAAAAAACGUAUGUUUUGAAAACAUAAAAAAAGGAAGGAACUCUUAAUAAUCU
Molecule: transfer RNA, 67 nt
Filed under: Emerita talpoida
Lineage: Eukaryota; Metazoa; Arthropoda; Malacostraca; Decapoda; Hippidae
Description: tRNA-Ser
Source: RNAcentral